This 353-nucleotide unclassified non-coding RNA is filed under the name uncultured fungus. Its description in RNAcentral is "sequence contains ITS1". The stretch from base 1 to 105 matches the Rfam family "5.8S ribosomal RNA", at positions 50 to 154 of the family's 154-position model. The record is from RNAcentral. Lineage: Eukaryota; Fungi.
UAGCUGCGUUAACUGGUGUGAAUUGCAGGACACGCCGAGCACUAAGUUUUCGAACGCAUAUUGCGGCUACGGGCCAUUCCCGUAGCCUCGUCUGUCUGAGGGUCGGUUUAAUAACGACUCAUCGUGAGAGUCUGCAUCGAGACACGGCCUUGUUGCAAGUCUCGUCAGACUUUGGUCGACGCGAUGUUUUCUGCUGAGAGUUGCAGCGGCAUCGGUCCGGCGCUACGUGUCGGUCCGCGCUACCGCUUUGGCUGACUGUUAGGCGAAUUCGUGCGUGCAAGCCAAAACUGUUGACUUCGGUCGACUUCAUUUUUGUCGACCUCAGAUCAGGCGAGAUUACCCGCUGAAUUUAA